Non-coding RNA from Plasmodium malariae, 46 nucleotides. The record is from Rfam. Lineage: Eukaryota; Apicomplexa; Aconoidasida; Haemosporida; Plasmodiidae.
UUUUAGGCUUCACUAGAAGCCAUUAUAAAUAAAUAUUUAUAUAAAU